This 484-nucleotide ribosomal RNA is filed under the name uncultured bacterium. RNAcentral describes it as "partial 16S ribosomal RNA". It matches the Rfam family "Bacterial small subunit ribosomal RNA", at positions 29 to 507 of the family's 1533-position model. The record is from RNAcentral.
AUUGAACGCUGGCGGAAUGCUUUACACAUGCAAGUCGAGCGGCAGCGCGGCCUUCGGGCUGGCGGCGAGCGGCGAACGGGUGAGUAAUGCAUCGGAACAUGCCCAGUCGUGGGGGAUAACACUUCGAAAGAAGUGCUAAUACCGCAUACGUCCUGAGGGGGAAAGCGGGGGAUCGCAAGACCUCGCGCGAUUGGAGUGGCCGAUGUCAGAUUAGCUAGUUGGUGGGGUAAAGGCCUACCAAGGCGACGAUCUGUAGCUGGUCUGAGAGGAUGAUCAGCCGCACUGGGACUGGGACACGGCCCAGACUCCUACGGGAGGCAGCAGUGGGGAAUUUUGGACAAUGGGGGCAACCCUGAUCCAGCCAUUCCGCGUGAGUGAAGAAGGCCUUCGGGUUGUAAAGCUCUUUCGGCAGGAACGAAACGGUGGGCUCUAACAUAGUCCGCUAAUGACGGUACCUGAAGAAGAAGCACCGGCUAACUACGUG